AAAUUGAAGAGUUUGAUCAUGGCUCAGAUUGAACGCUGGCGGCAGGCCUAACACAUGCAAGUCGAACGGUAACAGGAAGCGCUUGCUGCUUCGCUGACGAGUGGCGGACGGGUGAGUAAUGUCUGGGAAACUGCCUGAUGGAGGGGGAUAACUACUGGAAACGGUAGCUAAUACCGCAUAACGUCGCAAGACCAAAGAGGGGGACCUUCGGGCCUCUUGCCAUCGGAUGUGCCCAGAUGGGAUUAGCUUGUUGGUGGGGUAACGGCUCACCAAGGCGACGAUCCCUAGCUGGUCUGAGAGGAUG
This 304-nucleotide ribosomal RNA is filed under the name Escherichia coli. Its description in RNAcentral is "partial 16S ribosomal RNA". It matches the Rfam family "Bacterial small subunit ribosomal RNA", at positions 1 to 302 of the family's 1533-position model. Lineage: Bacteria; Pseudomonadati; Pseudomonadota; Gammaproteobacteria; Enterobacterales; Enterobacteriaceae. The record is from RNAcentral. RNAcentral also lists the same sequence under 1 other name.